Molecule: ribosomal RNA, 436 nt
Filed under: uncultured Desulfobulbus sp.
Lineage: Bacteria; Pseudomonadati; Thermodesulfobacteriota; Desulfobulbia; Desulfobulbales; Desulfobulbaceae
Description: bacterial SSU rRNA
Rfam family: Bacterial small subunit ribosomal RNA
Source: RNAcentral
UUCGAUGCAACGCGAAGAACCUUACCUGGUCUUGACAUCCCGGAGACCCUUAGGAAACUAGGGGUGCUUCCAUCUGGAGAAUCUGGAGACAGGUGCUGCAUGGCUGUCGUCAGCUCGUGUCGUGAGAUGUUGGGUUAAGUCCCGCAACGAGCGCAACCCUUGCCUUUAGUUGCCAGCAGUUCGGCUGGGCACUCUAAAGGGACUGCCGGUGUUAAACCGGAGGAAGGUGGGGAUGACGUCAAGUCCUCAUGGCCUUUAUGACCAGGGCUACACACGUACUACAAUGGCCGAUACAAAGGGCAGCGACACUGCGAGGUGAAGCCAACCCCGUAAAAUCGGUCUCAGUCCGGAUUGGAGUCUGCAACUCGACUCCAUGAAGUUGGAAUCGCUAGUAAUCGUGGAUCAGCAUGCCACGGUGAAUACGUUCCCGGGCCUU